UACGAAGGGGGCUAGCGUUGCUCGGAAUUACUGGGCGUAAAGGGCGCGUAGGCGGCCAGCACAAGUCAGUUGUGAAAUCUCCGGGCUUAACUCGGAAAGGUCAACUGAUACUGUGCGGCUAGAGUGCAGAAGGGGCAACUGGAAUUCUCGGUGUAGCGGUGAAAUGCGUAGAUAUCGAGAGGAACACCUGCGGCGAAGGCGGGUUGCUGGGCUGACACUGACGCUGAUGCGCGAAAGCCAGGGGAGCGAACGGG
This 254-nucleotide ribosomal RNA is filed under the name uncultured bacterium. Its description in RNAcentral is "partial 16S ribosomal RNA". It matches the Rfam family "Bacterial small subunit ribosomal RNA", at positions 524 to 776 of the family's 1533-position model. The record is from RNAcentral.